RNAcentral lists this ribosomal RNA (496 nucleotides) under uncultured bacterium. Its description in RNAcentral is "partial 16S ribosomal RNA". It matches the Rfam family "Bacterial small subunit ribosomal RNA", at positions 29 to 507 of the family's 1533-position model. The record is from RNAcentral.
AUGAACGCUGGCGGCGUGCCUAAUACAUGCAAGUCGAGCGAACAGACGAGGAGCUUGCUCCUCUGACGUUAGCGGCGGACGGGUGAGUAACACGUGGAUAACCUACCUAUAAGACUGGGAUAACUUCGGGAAACCGGAGCUAAUACCGGAUAAUAUAUUGAACCGCAUGGUUCAAUAGUGAAAGACGGUUUUGCUGUCACUUAUAGAUGGAUCCGCGCCGCAUUAGCCAGUUGGUAAGGUAACGGCUUACCAAGGCAACGAUGCGUAGCCGACCUGAGAGGGUGAUCGGCCACACUGGAACUGAGACACGGUCCAGACUCCUACGGGAGGCAGCAGUAGGGAAUCUUCCGCAAUGGGCGAAAGCUUGACGGAGCAACGCCGCGUGAGUGAUGAAGGUCUUCGGAUCGUAAAACUCUGUUAUCAGGGAAGAACAAAUGUGUAAGUAACUAUGCACGUCUUGACGGUACCUAAUCAGAAAGCCACGGCUAACUACGUG